Molecule: ribosomal RNA, 328 nt
Filed under: uncultured Neocallimastigales
Lineage: Eukaryota; Fungi; Neocallimastigomycota; Neocallimastigomycetes; Neocallimastigales
Description: partial large subunit ribosomal RNA
Source: RNAcentral
GUUGUUUUCUCGAAAAUCAAUUAAAAAAGGCAGGAUUUUGUGUUGUAUUGACUUUAUCAGCUUUCUGCACUCUUUUCUUGUCUUUUUUAAUGCACUUUUCGUUUAACAAGUCAACAUCAAUUUCUUUUGUUGUAAAAGGGUCAUUGGAAGGUGGCUUUCUUUUCGGAGAAAGUGUUUAUAGCCUUUGGCCUCUGCAAUCGGAGAGAUUGAGGUCUGCAGCGUAGAUCCUUCGGGGUUAGAUACAUUUGUGCUAAGUUAUAGCCUUUCAUAGACAACUUGUUGACUAUGAUCAGUCAUGUAGCUUACUCGCUUAUGCUAUUUUACCUAC